CUUAAAGCUGUACAACUCAAAAUUGCACUCUCUUCAGUGUAGUCUAAGAUUUUAUCAUUAACUAGACAUAGUUAUUCAGCUUUCAGUUACACAGCCAGAUUUUAAAAGGAUCUUCCUCCAUCCCUUUAUUUUGAGCCUAUGUGUGUCUCUGCACAUGAGAUGGGUCUCCUGAAUACAGCACACUGAUGGGUCUUCACUCUUUAUCCAAUUUGCCACUCUGUGUCUUUUAAUUGGAACAUUUAGCCCAUUUACAUUUAAAGUUAAUAUUGUUAUGUGUGAAUUUGAUCCUGUCAUUAUGCUUUUAGCUAGUUAUUU
RNAcentral lists this long non-coding RNA (315 nucleotides) under Pan troglodytes (chimpanzee). RNAcentral's name for it is "long non-coding RNA NONPTRT011638". Lineage: Eukaryota; Metazoa; Chordata; Mammalia; Primates; Hominidae. The record is from RNAcentral.